This 28-nucleotide non-coding RNA is filed under the name Mus musculus (house mouse). Lineage: Eukaryota; Metazoa; Chordata; Mammalia; Rodentia; Muridae. The record is from RNAcentral.
UGGGACUAAAGGCAUGUGUCUCCAUGGU